UAUCAUUCUGCAUUUUGACUUCACGUGAAUGUGGUCUGACAGCUCAGGGAGGGGCAGAAGAAUGUCAUAUAAAAAGCACAAUAAACGUAGAAUCUGAAUCUAAUAGCAAACGACAACAACACAGCUGUAUCUCAUGGACGAGUUUAAGCUUCGAAAUGUCAACCUGCAACAGGUCCAAAACCAGAUCCGCCACAGGACCGACGGUCUGAGCUCCAGCACUCUGGUGCUGCGGAGAGGACAGCCGUUCACAAUUCUCAUGAACUAUGAUGGACGGCCAUUCGAUCCACUGAAGGAAAAACUGGUCUUCCGAAUUGUUCUAGCAGGGCCGCUGUUUGUGGAGGUGCCUGUCUCCAUGUCUGGACAGCCUUCUCCAUCUCAAUGGAGUGCCAUUCUGGAGAGGAGCGUACCGGCCCCGAAUGCACCCCGUACGAUGUCGGUGUCACUGUUCAGCCCUGCGUCUUCCUCUGUAGGAGUCUAUACCUUCCACCUGAGAGUAGAGACCCGCUUGAGUGUGAAAACCCAUUUGCUCGGCCAGUUCACGCUCCUCUGCAACCCCUGGUGCCAAGCUGAUUCAGUGUUCCUGCCGUCAGAGGAUCUGAGGAAUGAAUACAUCAGGAAUGAUAUUGGCCUGCUGUUUAAAGGCAGCCCUGGUAGCGUCGUCUCCAGACCCUGGUCUUUUGAUCAGUAUGAAACAGGGAUAUUGGACAUCUGUAUGAAAUUGCUGCAGUUGAGUCCUCAAUAUCAAACCGACAUGAGAAAAGAUCUGGUCAACCGCAGCAAUCCGGUGUACAUCGGCCGUGUGAUCUCAGCUAUGGUGAACUGUCAGGAUGAUAAAGGGGUGUUAAUGGGGAACUGGUCAGGAGACUACAGCAAUGGUGUAAACCCCUCAAAUUGGUCCGGCAGCGCAGAUAUUCUCAGGAUGUGGUCAGAAACACAAUUCAGACCUGUGAAAUACGGGCAGUGCUGGGUGUUCGCUGCUGUCAUGUGUACAGUAAUGAGAGCCCUCGGCAUUCCAACUCGAGUGGUCACCAACUUUAACUCCGCUCACGACACAAACGGGAAUAUGGUGAUUGAGGAAUUUUACUCAGAGAUGGGGGAAAAGCUGUCCAUCGGCCGGGAUAGCAUCUGGAAUUUCCAUGUGUGGGUGGAGAGUUGGAUGAAGAGGCCUGAUCUGGGUCAAGGUUAUGACGGCUGGCAGGUUCUUGACCCCACACCACAAGAGCUGAGUGCGGGAAUGUACCGCUGUGGCCCUGCUGCUGUUAAAGCCAUUUAUGAGCAGAAGGUGGACGCACUAUACGAUGUACCGUUCGUUUACGCAGAAGUGAAUGCGGAUGUGUGUAGUAUAAUCAUGAGAGAUAGGACGAUAUUAGCUACUAACGUGGACAAAAAGAGAGUUGGAGCCCUGAUCUGCACCAAACGUCCCGGAUCCAUGCUUAUGCAGGACAUCACGUCAGAAUACAAAACUGAGAUGAUGGUUGGAACAACAGCUCGUAUGUUCAGCGCUGAUGUUCGAGGUGGUGAAGGUGCUAAUGGAAGAGGCGCACCUCAGGGCAUUGCAGUUUCUCUCCAGCUUUUGAAAGCACCUGUUGUCGGAGAAAACAUUUCUUUCAGCGUCACAAUCACUAACAAAGAGGCAAUUCCGAAACUGCUGCGAAAACACGUGAACGCUCAAAACAAAGAGUACAACCGCAAUCCCACUGGACCCUUCUGGGAGGCUCAUGAUGAUCUGACGAUCGGCCCGAAUAAAAGUAAGAAUUCUGCAACCUAUACUGAACAGCACAAAGUGCUUAAAAUUAGUUUAAAAUGUACUUAGAACCAGUUGUUUUCCACAGUUACUGUGCUGUAGUGGUGGGCAAUUUGGCAAAAAUAUCACAUCACGAUUGAAGUAGUCGCAAUAUUUUACUCAUUAUUUAUUGGACUGCCAAAAUAUUUACACAAAAUUAAAUUGAAAAUUGAAAAACCCAACUUUGCUAAUUUUUAAGUUGUUAACUGGACAGCACUCGCAUGCAUCAUGAUGGCAUCAUGUGACUAAAAUGUAACACUACUGUCUGACACAUUUUUUAAAGAGGACCUAAUACACUUUUUUAUAUUUUCAUCUUUCUUUAGUUUGUAAUGUUGCUGUUUGAGCAUGAAAAAGCUCUGCAAAUUUCCAAAGCACAAAGUUCCUCCAGCAGGAGUUAUUCUCUUUAUCAGUGUGCACUGUUUCUGAACUCCCUGAAACGCCUCCAUUGUAGUCUUGAGUCUUCUUCCGUGAACGAACACGUCACAGUAUUUCUCAUUUAAAUAAUUCCUGCCCAAUGCAUAUGCAAAAUAAAAGGGCGGAGCCUGGUUAAGAUAGUAGUGUGUUGAAAUUGGCGGUUAUGGUAAGGGGCGGGACAUUUCCCAAACACACUCGAAGCACUUAACCAAUCACAACACACUGGUCCAGCCGACCAAUCAGAGAACAGUGUGCUUUUCAGAAGGAGGGGCUUCAUACAGAGCGUUGCUGACAGACUGCUGUGACUGUGAACCAUGAGAUCUUCUUCAAGGAGUACAUGCUGAAGGAGGUUAUGGAGGAUUACCUGGUUAACCUGGCUGUGGUUAUAGAGGAUGUGAAGUCUCAAGAGAGAGUGCUGGCUUCAGAAGAGUUUA
Molecule: RNA transcript, 2631 nt
Organism: Ctenopharyngodon idella (grass carp)
Lineage: Eukaryota; Metazoa; Chordata; Actinopteri; Cypriniformes; Xenocyprididae
Gene: tgm5l
Gene name: transglutaminase 5, like
Exons: 13
Source: RefSeq, a predicted model, not a curated record